AUGCCCAAGAAAGGAGGGAAGCAUGCUGAAAUGGGAAAAGAAACACAGGCACAGUGUAAACGAGCAAAGCUGGAAGCAGCUUGUUCUCCCUCAGUCCUGAGUUUUGAGAACCCAGACAGCCUCUUCGGGAGCUUGAUCUCCCCCAUCAAAGAAGAGGUGUUUUUCAAGGAGUACUGGGAGCAAAAGCCACUGCUCGUCCAGAGCAAUGAUCCCCUGGUGGCUGCUUACUGCCUGUCCCUGUUCCAGCUGUCAGACUUGAAGGAGCUGUGCAGCCAGGGCCUGUACUAUGGGCGAGAUGUGAAUAUCUGCAGUGUGUGAAUGGAAAGAAGAAGGUUUUAAAUAAAGAAGGCAAAGUGAAUUACAUGCAGCUGAAGAAGGAUUUUGACCAGAAAAAGGCAAGAAUACAGUUUCAUCAGCCUCAGAGAUUUAAGGAGGAGCUGUGGAAGAUUUUCAGGAGAAGCUGGAGUGCUACUUUGGGUCUCUGGUGGGGUCCAAUGUUUCCAUCACUCCCCAGGGAUCCCAGGGCCUUCCUCCUCACUAUGAUGAUGUUGAGCCAGGUGACUUACUGUACUUCCCAAGAGGGACCAUCCACCAAGCUGACACUCCUCUUGGGACCUCCCAUUCAACACACGUGACCAUCAGUACCUACCAAAACAAGUCAUUAUUCUUUAUCUUUUGUUUUGUGUGGCUUUCCUCUGCCAAGUGAUGUGUGUGAGUAGUACAGACCUGAGAUGUGGUGAAGUUUUGGGGCUUGGGGGAAGGAGGGGAGCAAGAAGACUGUUGUUGUUUGAAGCAGCCUG
This is a long non-coding RNA of Pseudopipra pipra, 800 nucleotides long. RefSeq lists it as uncharacterized. NCBI's taxonomy places the organism in Eukaryota, Metazoa, Chordata, Aves, Passeriformes, Pipridae. The record is from RefSeq and is a predicted model, not a curated record. The transcript is spliced from 3 exons.